RNAcentral lists this ribosomal RNA (302 nucleotides) under uncultured bacterium. RNAcentral's name for it is "partial 16S ribosomal RNA". It matches the Rfam family "Bacterial small subunit ribosomal RNA", at positions 508 to 809 of the family's 1533-position model. The record is from RNAcentral.
GCAGCCGCCGCGGUAAUACAGAGGGUGCGAGCGUUAAUCGGAUUUACUGGGCGUAAAGCGUGCGUAGGCGGCUUUUUAAGUCGGAUGUGAAAUCCCUGAGCUUAACUUAGGAAUUGCAUUCGAUACUGGGAAGCUAGAGUAUGGGAGAGGAUGGUAGAAUUCCAGGUGUAGCGGUGAAAUGCGUAGAGAUCUGGAGGAAUACCGAUGGCGAAGGCAGCCAUCUGGCCUAAUACUGACGCUGAGGUACGAAAGCAUGGGGAGCAAACAGGAUUAGAUACCCGCGUAGUCCCUGUCUCUUAUAA